AUGACUGAUGCCUGGACAGAUAAGAAGGGUAGGGGAGUAAUGAACUUACUUGUGCACAGUGCUCAUGGUGUUUGCUUUAUUGAUUCAGUGGACUGCUCCAGUGACAAAAAAGAUGGCAAAUACAUAUUUGACAUGGUGGACAAAUGCAUAGAAGAUAUAGGUGAAGAACAUGUUUUUCAAGUGGUCACUAAUAAUGGUAGUGUGAAUGUAUCAGCAGCUAGUAUGCUAAUAGCAAAAAGACCAUCCAUGUUUUGGAAUGGAUGUGUUGCUCACUACUUAGAUCUCAUGCUGGAGGUGUUGGGGAACGUAGUAAUUUCAAAAAAAUCCUACGCACAUGCAAGAUCCGCCGAGGGAGAGUUUCGUCAGCACGACGGCAUGAUGACGAUGAUGAUGAAGUUACCGAUGCAGGGCUUCGCCUAA
This 420-nucleotide ribosomal RNA is filed under the name Triticum aestivum (bread wheat). RNAcentral's name for it is "partial small subunit ribosomal RNA". Lineage: Eukaryota; Viridiplantae; Streptophyta; Magnoliopsida; Poales; Poaceae. The record is from RNAcentral.